RNAcentral lists this ribosomal RNA (510 nucleotides) under uncultured bacterium. Its description in RNAcentral is "bacterial SSU rRNA". It matches the Rfam family "Bacterial small subunit ribosomal RNA", at positions 28 to 496 of the family's 1533-position model. The record is from RNAcentral.
GACGAACGCUGGCGGCGUGCCUAAUACAUGCAAGUCGAACGCACUCUCGUUUAGAUUGAAGGAGCUUGCUCCUGAUUGAUAAACAUUUGAGUGAGUGGCGGACGGGUGAGUAACACGUGGGUAACCUGCCCUAAAGUGGGGGAUAACAUUUGGAAACAGAUGCUAAUACCGCAUAAAACCUAACACCGCAUGGUGUAGGGUUGAAAGAUGGUUUCGGCUAUCACUUUAGGAUGGACCCGCGGUGCAUUAGUUAGUUGGUGAGGUAAAGGCUCACCAAGACCGUGAUGCAUAGCCGACCUGAGAGGGUAAUCGGCCACACUGGGACUGAGACACGGCCCAGACUCCUACGGGAGGCAGCAGUAGGGAAUCUUCCACAAUGGACGAAAGUCUGAUGGAGCAACGCCGCGUGAGUGAAGAAGGUUUUCGGAUCGUAAACUCUGUUGUUGGAGUAAGAAUGUAUCUGAUAGUAACUGAUCAGGUAGUGACGGUAUCCGAACCAGAAAGCCACGG